This 77-nucleotide transfer RNA is filed under the name Gammaproteobacteria bacterium. Its description in RNAcentral is "tRNA-Arg". It matches the Rfam family "tRNA". Rfam says of the family: Transfer RNA (tRNA) molecules are approximately 80 nucleotides in length. Their secondary structure includes four short double-helical elements and three loops (D, anti-codon, and T loops). The record is from RNAcentral. Lineage: Bacteria; Pseudomonadati; Pseudomonadota; Gammaproteobacteria.
GCGGCUGUAGCUCAGCGGAGCAGAGCGCGACCCUGCGAAGGUCGAGGUCACAAGUUCGAAUCUUGUCAGUCGCGCCA